Molecule: small nuclear RNA, 89 nt
Filed under: Sorex araneus (European shrew)
Lineage: Eukaryota; Metazoa; Chordata; Mammalia; Eulipotyphla; Soricidae
Source: RNAcentral
GCUUGCUUCGGCAGCUCAUACUAAAUUGGAAUGAUACAUGGCCCCUGUGCAAGGAUGACACACAAACAAACAAAAUUAACAAAAUAAAA